RNAcentral lists this ribosomal RNA (280 nucleotides) under uncultured bacterium. Its description in RNAcentral is "partial 16S ribosomal RNA". It matches the Rfam family "Bacterial small subunit ribosomal RNA", at positions 773 to 1060 of the family's 1533-position model. The record is from RNAcentral.
GUGGAUUAGAUACCCUGGUAGUCCACGCCGUAAACGAUGGAUACUAGCUGUUGGGCGCAAGUUCAGUGGCUAAGCGAAAGUGAUAAGUAUCCCACCUGGGGAGUACGUUCGCAAGAAUGAAACUCAAAGGAAUUGACGGGGGCCCGCACAAGCGGUGGAGCAUGUGGUUUAAUUCGAUGAUACGCGAGGAACCUUACCAAGGCUUAAAUGUAGAUUGACAGAUUUGGAAACAGAUUUUUCUUCGGACAAUUUACAAGGUGCUGCACGGCCGUCGUCAACU